AGUGAACGCUGGCGGUAGGCCUAACACAUGCAAGUCGAACGGCAGCACAGUAAGAGCUUGCUCUUACGGGUGGCGAGUGGCGGACGGGUGAGGAAUACAUCGGAAUCUACUUUUUCGUGGGGGAUAGCGUAGGGGAACUUACGCUAAUACCGCAUACGACCUACGGGUGAAAGCAGGGGAUCUUCGGACCUUGCGCGAUUGAAUGAGCCGAUGUCGGAUUAGCUAGUUGGCGGGGUAAAGGCCCACCAAGGCGACGAUCCGUAGCUGGUCUGAGAGGAUGAUCAGCCACACUGGAACUGAGACACGGUCCAGACUCCUACGGGAGGCAGCAGUGGGGAAUAUUGGACAAUGGGCGCAAGCCUGAUCCAGCCAUACCGCGUGGGUGAAGAAGGCCUUCGGGUUGUAAAGCCCUUUUGUUGGGAAAGAAAAGCAGCAGGUUAAUACCCCGCUGUUCUGACGGUACCCAAAGAAUAAGCACCGGCUAACUUCGUG
Molecule: ribosomal RNA, 492 nt
Filed under: uncultured bacterium
Lineage: Bacteria
Description: partial 16S ribosomal RNA
Rfam family: Bacterial small subunit ribosomal RNA
Source: RNAcentral